Molecule: ribosomal RNA, 844 nt
Filed under: Escherichia coli
Lineage: Bacteria; Pseudomonadati; Pseudomonadota; Gammaproteobacteria; Enterobacterales; Enterobacteriaceae
Description: partial 23S ribosomal RNA
Rfam family: Bacterial large subunit ribosomal RNA
Source: RNAcentral
UGUUUCGGCAAGGGGGUCAUCCCGACUUACCAACCCGAUGCAAACUGCGAAUACCGGAGAAUGUUAUCACGGGAGACACACGGCGGGUGCUAACGUCCGUCGUGAAGAGGGAAACAACCCAGACCGCCAGCUAAGGUCCCAAAGUCAUGGUUAAGUGGGAAACGAUGUGGGAAGGCCCAGACAGCCAGGAUGUUGGCUUAGAAGCAGCCAUCAUUUAAAGAAAGCGUAAUAGCUCACUGGUCGAGUCGGCCUGCGCGGAAGAUGUAACGGGGCUAAACCAUGCACCGAAGCUGCGGCAGCGACGCUUAUGCGUUGUUGGGUAGGGGAGCGUUCUGUAAGCCUGUGAAGGUGUGCUGUGAGGCAUGCUGGAGGUAUCAGAAGUGCGAAUGCUGACAUAAGUAACGAUAAAGCGGGUGAAAAGCCCGCUCGCCGGAAGACCAAGGGUUCCUGUCCAACGUUAAUCGGGGCAGGGUGAGUCGACCCCUAAGGCGAGGCCGAAAGGCGUAGUCGAUGGGAAACAGGUUAAUAUUCCUGUACUUGGUGUUACUGCGAAGGGGGGACGGAGAAGGCUAUGUUGGCCGGGCGACGGUUGUCCCGGUUUAAGCGUGUAGGCUGGUUUUCCAGGCAAAUCCGGAAAAUCAAGGCUGAGGCGUGAUGACGAGGCACUACGGUGCUGAAGCAACAAAUGCCCUGCUUCCAGGAAAAGCCUCUAAGCAUCAGGUAACAUCAAAUCGUACCCCAAACCGACACAGGUGGUCAGGUAGAGAAUACCAAGGCGCUUGAGAGAACUCGGGUGAAGGAACUAGGCAAAAUGGUGCCGUAACUUCGGGAGAAGGCACGCUGA